RNAcentral lists this unclassified non-coding RNA (123 nucleotides) under Dioszegia fristingensis. RNAcentral's name for it is "partial internal transcribed spacer 2". Lineage: Eukaryota; Fungi; Basidiomycota; Tremellomycetes; Tremellales; Bulleribasidiaceae. The record is from RNAcentral.
UAAACCUCCAACUAUAGUUUAUUCUGUAGUUGGCUUUGGGUGUUGCCAGCGAUGGCUCGCCUUAAAUGUCUAAGUGGAAUGCAUAAUAAGUUCUUGCAACCCUCCACUCUAACACACUUUAUA